Chinchilla lanigera (long-tailed chinchilla) is the source of this 2392-nucleotide long non-coding RNA. RefSeq lists it as uncharacterized. Lineage: Eukaryota; Metazoa; Chordata; Mammalia; Rodentia; Chinchillidae. The record is from RefSeq and is a predicted model, not a curated record. The transcript has 5 exons.
CUAUUUUUUAUUAUACUAUGCUGAAUAAUUAAGUUUGAGGCUAAGUGUCACAUGGAUUUAUCUUUUAAUUAAAAAAGCAUGGUUCACGCAUAUUUGAGUGGUAGUCCAAAUAAAUGCAAUAUAGAAAUUUAUGUUUGUUUAUCUAGGUGUUAAUUACCUAGAGAUUGUUCUGGAUUACUUCUUUUUAUAAAGUGUCAUAGGCUCGUUGUCAGAAGGAAUAAAGCUCGCCCGUGGAACCUUAUCAAUUUGCUAACUAUAGUGCUGGCCUGACCUGGGGAGGGGGAGGGGAAAACUUUGGGGAUUGUUGUGUAUACACACGCCCCCAUUCAACCCACACCAAAUAAAACAGUCGUUUUAGAAAAUAUUCCUAGGACAUAAAGGCACAAAUAUAUCUUCGUUGUUUUACAGCCUCUUGUCCACAGCUAUUUAUAAAACAUGUGAUUAUUUAUGCGUCAGGUUAUGAGAAGUUCGCUGGGAGAAGCGGUAAAGGAGGCUCCAUCAAUCCCGUUACCUGGUACCCGGGAGGGGCUGAGGGAGGGGAAGGUCGCCUGGGGGAAAAGUGGGCUGAGACAGGAAGCUGGCUGCUGUGAUUUGUCUAAAACGUGUCAGUUUUGCCCUCAGAAAAUCCAGGCAGUGGGAGAGAGACAGCAAAGCUGAAGGCCAGAGGUCACUUUCUUUUGAAACCAAGGAUGCCCAGCAAAGAAUCCAGAGUCACCCACAAAGUGUUCUUCAUUCCUUCAGGCAGUCCUUGCUUUGUUCUUUGUUUACAAAGUGAUUUGGGGUGGCAGGUUCAAUCAAAGGGCUUGGAAGAAAACAGAAACUUUGGUCAAAAGGCUCGACUUCAAAGAAAUAAACGUUUCGCGGACAGGAAGAAGCCCACUGGGAUCUGCAAACCUCCACUUUAGGGUGCACACUUUUGUCCUGAAGAUUUCAUUUCCUUGCUUUCUCUGCACUGCUUUACUUUUCUUUUUUUAGGCAGGAUCCUACUGCCGUGCAGGCUGCCCUUGAACUCAUUUGUGUAGCCCAGGCUGGUCUCAAACUCAUCUUGAUCUUCCUGCCUCGGCCUCUGCAGUGCGGGGGUCACAGGCGCGCGCCCCCACGCCCAGCCUACCUUGUCUCUUUUUGCUGCACACACAAAUUUUCGUUUAUCAGACACCAGAAAAUCAGACUAAGUUACUGUGGGUCCUGAUGGACAAUGCCCUGCGUGAUGGGCUAUUUUCCCGGGUCUCACAGACAGCGGUGGGGCAGACAGGCACCCACACUCAAGCCAAGAAGAGGGGAGCCACGGAAGCUCCUAUCCAGCAACCGGCCCUGUGAGGAGGCUUUCCUUGGAGAAGGUUUCAUUUUCAUUUUUUGUUUCCUUCCUCCUGGCGCCCAGGCGGACUAAUGGGGCGGGUCGCCGUCAGGUCCGCGACCUUGCUCUUGGCUGCGCGCCUGGAGAGGUGGCCCGGGCCGGGCACUGUGCGGGGCGCGGCGCCAGGCGGGGGCGCCCGGGGCCUUCGUGUCGCCACGGGGGCGGGGGGCGUCCUUGGGCGCCGACUCGCUGCAGCCCGGGCCACCGGAUCAGUCCCGCGGCUCCGGGGAUCAAAGCAGUGAAGAGUCGGCCGUGCAGGAUGAGCUUGCCGCACCCCAGCAGUAUGAUGCCCAACUCUUCAGUCCCCGCCGAAGAAGGAAGGAAGGGGACCAACGCAGAAGGCGCAGAGGCUCAGCGACGCCCGGCUGAUGGCUGUGUAUGAACACGGAGCCAGGCUCGCAUCAGACAGAGAUGCUGGCACCCUGAUGUGACACCUCCAGACUCUGGACCUAUAUCUACCUGCAGUACUCAACGCUGAGGAGAGCCUUUGUCCCUCUCGGCAAUUGGAGCCACUGGCCAGAGGCUUGAAUUCAGGCAGCUCUACCAUCUCCACCAUUUCCAGAACCUCGGAAGAAUCACUUCUUCAAUGGCCCAGGUCAAUGUGCAAUAACUGAAUAAAAGAGAAAAUUCCAUAAAUCAACUGGAAACAAAGAUGAAAUCAUAGGAAGAUCCUUAUCAUGCGGGUAAAACUUAAAGUCAAGGUGUAGCAGAUGGGUGACGCUGCACUGUCCACCAGGCACUUUGUUAGAGGUCAGCAAGAAAUUAGCCUGGUCUUUGUCCCUCUUGGAACUCUGAGUUUAAUGGAAGACACAUAUUCAACCAAAUAAUCAAGUGCUCUAAUCACCAGGAAAGGUACCAUUAGAGAGGAAGGAGAGAAAAGUCACUUGCUCAGGGGGACAGACAAUGGAAUGUCACCUGAUCCAGUCUCUGGGAAGUCAGGGUCAGCCUUACCUACCCUAUUUUGAAAUAAUGGGAAAAAUAUUUGAAAGCAAAAGUAAAUAAAGCCCUUUCUGCCUGCUAAGAAUACGUACCUGGGAG